CUGGGAAUCGAGCCCAUUAUCCUGAUGUUGCAAUGUUGUACUUACUUACUUUCCUUCCUUCCUUCCUUCCUUCCUUCCUUCCUUCCUUCCUUCCUUCCUUCCUUCCUUCCUUCCUUCCUUCCUUCCUUCCUUUCAUUGUUAACACAGAAGGACAAAGGACAAGGUCAGGGUGUGUUAACACAGGAGGACAAAGGACAAGGUCAGGGUGUGUUAACACAGAAGGACAAAGGACAAGGUCAGGGUGUGUUAACACAGGAGGACAAAGGACAAGUUCUGGGCGUGUUAACACAGGAGGACAAAGGACAAGGUCAGGGUGUGUUAACACAGAAGGACAAAGGACAAGGUCAGGGCGUGUUAACACAGGAGGACAAAGGAUUGGGUGAUAACAGAGGUUAAACCUUCAUAUGAUGUGAGGUAAAGGUAGACCAAAGUGGAAACAGACUUAAACAGAACACCGGGUCAGCUCCAUCAUGUACAUUACGUGCCUCGUCAAAAGGAAUUCUUUCAGAAUAAUUGGGUUUUCCUCCAACAAUAAGCCAUUGUAACAAAACAAGGUCGGCCCAGAUCCUGUGGAUGAUGUAAGGAAUCAUGCUCUGUAAGGACGAGGUGAGAUACACAGAACAUAACAAGUCUCUCCCUGCCACGUCUAUUUGGUAAUGUUUGUGCUGAAUCCUAUCGCAGUUCUAUAUCCUCUGGUUUAUGUUCCUCUGAUCACCCGGUGUAAGCAGGUUCCGGAAAAGACGAUAGGAUCUACCACACAAUGGUACAGGGUUCAGCCAGAAGCGUAAUUCCCUCCCUCCCUCCCUCCUAUAAAACCCCAGUCAUCUCCAUCCAUUUCCCCUCUUCCUUCCUCGAUGGCUGCUGUUUCUCACUCCGACCCGUUUGGCCCAAUCACAACCAGGAAGCACUUAGCGCUAUCCAAACAGAUGGGACUCGGACUUCAAACAGCAGAGAGCCGUUUGUUAAUACCAGGGUAUUUCCUCACAGCUGUUUCACUGGGAGUUUCUCCAUAGUUUAUAGAACAUAGGGAAAGUAACAGCUUUAAACUCUGGUUACACUUUGACUUGUCUUUAGAUGAAGCAGUAGACAAAGUGUUGUUGGACAAUUUUCUCAGAUUAAAAUCACAAAUAGGGUUUUAUAUUCUCAGAUUCUUGACAGCAAUGAAGAGAGUUAAGGUCUUUCUAUAUUUUGUUUUCAACAUACUUCAUGAAAUACUCACUUCUACUGUAUUUUUUUUAUUUUACCUCUGAGUUAUUGGCCAUGAAAUACUCACUUCUACUGUAUUUUUUUUAUUUUACCUCUGAGUUAUUGGCCAUGAAAUACUCACUUCUACUGUAUUUUUUUUAUUUUACCUCUGAGUUAUUGGCCAUGAAAUCUCCAAGCUGACCUCUGAGAGGUAAAGACAGGGUUCAAUCUCCAUAUCAUUUGAUGACAGUUAUACAUGCUCUCUCACCUCUCGCAGCCAUGAUAGAGGGACCAGAGAGAGCGUUUGAAGGGAAUAUUGGGCGUAUCCCAAAUUGUCUCCUACAAGCUAUGAACUUGUGGAGAUCUGAGACGAUUUGAUUGGUAUAAGCAAAAUGGUGAAACUUCCACCUAGCCUAUCAAAGGGCAAAGUGGAGCUACCACCAGAUUGAUUACACCUGUCAAAUCCUCUCAGAGGAUGAGGUGCAGGGCUUAGGAGACGAUAUGUUGUUGGCCCAAAAUUAACUCUCGCAUCACCGUCUUACUCAAUGGGCUGGGAAUGUGUUGGGAAAAAGGUCAUACUGACCACAGUGUGGACCGUAAACAGUAGGUGAUGUUUGGAAUGAUGUGUUAUGAGUUAUUCUGGGAUUACAGUUCCUUGCAAAAGUAUUCAUCCCC
This is a long non-coding RNA of Oncorhynchus tshawytscha (Chinook salmon), 1860 nucleotides long. The record is from Ensembl. Lineage: Eukaryota; Metazoa; Chordata; Actinopteri; Salmoniformes; Salmonidae.